UAGCAUAUCAAUAAGCGGAGGAAAAGAAACUAACAAGGAUUCCCCUAGUAACUGCGAGUGAAGCGGGAAAAGCUCAAAUUUAAAAUCUGACGGUCUAUGGUCGUCCGAGUUGUAAUCUAGAGAAGUAAUGCCCGCGCUGGACCGUGUACAAGUCUCCUGGAAUGGAGCGUCAUAGAGGGUGAGAAUCCCGUCUCUGACACGGACUACCAGGGCUUUGUGGUAUGCUCUCAAAGAGUCGAGUUGUUUGGGAAUGCAGCUCUAAAUGGGUGGUAAAUUCCAUCUAAAGCUAAAUAUUGGCGAGAGACCGAUAGCGAACAAGUACCGUGAGGGAAAGAUGAAAAGAACUUUGGAAAGAGAGUUAAACAGUACGUGAAAUUGCUGAAAGGGAAACGCUUGAAGUCAGUCGCGUUGGUCGGGAAUCAGCCUCACUCUUGUGUGGUGUACUUUCUGAUUGACGGGUCAGCAUCAAUUUUGACCGCUGGAAAAAGGCUUAGGGAAUGUGGCAGCUUCGGCUGUGUUAUAGCCCUUUGUCACAUACAACGGUUGGGAUUGAGGAACUCAGCACGCCGCAAGGCCGGGUUUUUAACCACGUUCGUGCUUAGGAUGCUGGCAUAAUGGCUUUAAGCGACCCGUCUUGAAACACGGACCAAGGAGUCUAACAUGCCUGCGAGUGUUUGGGUGGUAAACUCGAGCGCGUAAUGAAAGUGAAAGUUGAGAUCCCUGUCGUGGGGAGCAUCGACGCCCGGACCAGAACUUUUGUGACGGAUCCGCGGUAGAGCAUGUAUGUUGGGACCCGAAAGAUGGUGAACUAUGCCUGAAUAGGGUGAAGCCAGAGGAAACUCUGGUGGAGGCUCGUAGCGAUUCUGACGUGCAAAUCGAUCGUCAAAUUUGGGUAUAGGGGCGAAAGACUAAUCGAACCAUCUAGUAGCUGGUUCCUGC
This 939-nucleotide ribosomal RNA is filed under the name Bryoperdon acuminatum. RNAcentral's name for it is "partial large subunit ribosomal RNA". It matches the Rfam family "Eukaryotic large subunit ribosomal RNA", at positions 36 to 961 of the family's 3401-position model. Lineage: Eukaryota; Fungi; Basidiomycota; Agaricomycetes; Agaricales; Lycoperdaceae. The record is from RNAcentral.